CAGGAUCAAGUGGCCGAAACAUUGAAAGUCAAAGUUGAAGAUCAAGACUCAAUAUCGAGUCCUUACUAACAAUAAAAUACAAAUUGCACUCAACAAUAAUAUGGCAAGCUUCAUCACUCUACAGUAACUGGAACAUAAGGAAAUUUCAAAAAGGCUACUGAAAACGCUUACUUAACAUUCACUAUACUAAUAAUGCACUUAACAAAUAUUCAUGCUUGAAUCCAAACUUAAGCUAAAGUCACAAACACAGCCUGAAAAUUCAAACUCAUCAACUUUUCCUCAAUACCAACAGUAAAGAGAUUUGGAAAAUUAGCACAACUCACCUAAUUACAAAAUAAAUACUCAAACCAUUAAAGAGCAUAAGUGCAUUUCUACAACACAUCAAUGGCAUAAGAUAACUAAGCUAUCAUGUACAACACACAGCUUAUUACAGAACAUUUAAAGAAGUAGAAGAAGCAAAUGAAAAGGAAAUCCAAAUCAACUUGUAUUCAAUCAGGCCUCAACUGGAAGUACAUGUUCCUAGUUACUUGUUGAAAAUGGUUUAAAGUAAUACCUGGUAAUGAACAAGGAAAACAAAAGACGCAAAGAAUCAGCAUAAACAGCAGCAGCCGAACAACAGUGAAACAUUGUUGAACGCAAUGAAGUAACCAUAGAGAAACAAACAAAAUUAGCAACCAAGCAGCACCUCAAACAAACAACUCAAACUAAAGAUUUAAACCCCCAAAAAUCAAACCACUUUCAACAAGGUGCAGGACUUUGUUAUUUUCAGUAGUUUUAACUAAGCAAUGAAGAUUAGAAACCAAAAACCAAGCAAAAUUUUAAGCAGUUCUGCAACAAGGAAAUGUUGGAAAUUAAAGGAUAUUCAGAGUCUCAGCUGUUUCAAUUUUUCAGGAUUUUUC
RNAcentral lists this long non-coding RNA (899 nucleotides) under Nicotiana benthamiana. RNAcentral's name for it is "long non-coding RNA (NBEN_LNC042300)". Lineage: Eukaryota; Viridiplantae; Streptophyta; Magnoliopsida; Solanales; Solanaceae. The record is from RNAcentral.